AUACGGCCCCUUCGGAUACCUUGUAAAGUUGGACCGGUGCAGAGGAAAUUAGCAUGGCCCCUGCACAAGGAUGUCAGCUUUGAUUGAGAAAAGGUCUAUUUUUUG
Molecule: non-coding RNA, 105 nt
Organism: Triticum aestivum (bread wheat)
Lineage: Eukaryota; Viridiplantae; Streptophyta; Magnoliopsida; Poales; Poaceae
Source: Rfam